CGGCCCUCGUGUGCCUGCUGCCCAUCCCUGCCCUCGGCUAUUCUGGGCCUCACAGCCCACCGCGGUAUUUAUACUGACAGAGGAAGAACGGGGGGAGAGGAAGAAAGAAAGACAGUGAUGGAAAAUAGAGAUGAAGCAUGUCGGAGAGGGAGAGAGGUGAAAAACAGUCAAGCGUGGUGUUGAUGUUUAUAGAGAUGAUAUAUGCAUGCAGUAGGAGACGAAAAAGGGAAAGAAGUUAGAAGUGGAUGCAAAAGGAUAUCGACAGAGGAGGGCAGGGGUGAUCAUGAGUAUUAACCCAGCGGGAGAAUGCAAGAAACAGGUGGAAAAAGAUGGGCGAAAAAAUAGAAUGGGAGGACAUCACUGGAAGUUGCCAUUUCAUAACCACCCAUUGAAAUUGAUGCUCAUUGCUAUACCUGGAAAACUUGGAGGGAAGCAGAGGGCUAAUCAGACAUUAGGUGCAUUAAAGGAUUGAGGCAGUCCGGUGGUUUUGGGUCUGCAGACGUGACUUCACCUGAGACGGUAGGUGUGGCCGCGGGUGUUAACAAGACAUGAUGAGAAUAUAUACCUAACGGCGAUGACGUGAUUGCAGCGGCACGGCAUGCAUGUGCAAAGAUGAGAGGAGAGGAUAUAGAAGUUGAAUUGUUUCCAAGAGAGUAACUGUCUACACACCUGAUUUUUUUAACAGGUGAGUUUUUGAUGUGAUUCCAUUCCAUAUUGUUUAAUCUGGUGCCACCUGCUGGCAAAACGAUGUCAUAACACAAUGGGACAGUGCCGGUGAACAAUGCCAGUACUAUUUUAGGGGAGGUAAAGACUCAUUCUGUCUGACACUUAAAGCUGUCCCAGCAUUGCAGCGAUUACAUUACAACAUGGAAGUGUAGUAGGAAUCUCACUGGACUGCAGUAUUAAGAUUAGAACGCAGUAAAGUGUUUAAAACCAGGAAAACCCUCACAUACGCAACCCACCCCCAAACACACACAGACACACAGACACACACACGCGCACAUAAACACUGACACACACAUGCGCACGUGCACACACACACACACACACACACCCACGCACACACCCACACCCAGACACACACACACAAACACUUUCUUUCCUUCUUUUUCUUAUGCUAUUCUCUCCUAAUUUUCCCCUCUUUAGUAAUUUCUUGCUCUUAUGCUCUCCCCUUUUCCCCAUGUGUCUUUCAGGCUUGUUAAUGUGUAACCUGAUCAUUAUAACAAUGCAGUUAAACUGCAAUUUGCAAAUUAGUUCCCAUAUAUAAAGAGUUUUUAAAAGGCAGUAUUUACCUCAAAUGAUGUGGAUUGAAACCAUUGGUCUGAAGCUUUUAUGACAGCCGUUUUGUAAUGCACUGUAAAAUCACAUAUACACACAUACAGUGUUCUGUAACUGCUGUUAUUUGCAUAUUAAUGCUUUGUAAGGAA
Long non-coding RNA from Anguilla rostrata (American eel), 1427 nucleotides. RefSeq lists it as uncharacterized. Lineage: Eukaryota; Metazoa; Chordata; Actinopteri; Anguilliformes; Anguillidae. The record is from RefSeq and is a predicted model, not a curated record. The transcript is spliced from 3 exons.